GACAGAGGAGGCAAGCGUUGUUCGGAAUCAUUGGGCUUAAAGCGCGCGUAGGCGGCCUUGUAAGUGUCUCGUGAAAUCCCACGGCUCACCCGUGGAACUGCAGGGCAAACUGCAAGACUUGAGGUCGGUAGAGGCGCCUGGAACUCUAGGUGGAGCGGUGAAAUGCGUAGAGAUCUAGGGGAACGCCGGAGGCGAAAGCGGGGCGCUGGGCCGAUGCUGACGCUGAUGCGCGAAAGAGUGGGGAGCAAACAGG
RNAcentral lists this ribosomal RNA (253 nucleotides) under uncultured bacterium. RNAcentral describes it as "partial 16S ribosomal RNA". It matches the Rfam family "Bacterial small subunit ribosomal RNA", at positions 524 to 776 of the family's 1533-position model. The record is from RNAcentral.